RNAcentral lists this long non-coding RNA (2630 nucleotides) under Homo sapiens (human). RNAcentral's name for it is "HSALNT0067813". Lineage: Eukaryota; Metazoa; Chordata; Mammalia; Primates; Hominidae. The record is from RNAcentral.
GUCCCUUCCGGGAAGGGCCCCGGUCACAGCCUGUGUGCUUCUCAGCAGGAAAGGCGGCCUGGAAGUCACUCUGCCCAGCAGAAGCUCUGCACUUCCUGAAGGGGGCUGUGGACCCCAAGUUCCUGAGGUUCAAGCCAGCCACAGGGAGGGGCCAGAGGCCAGCCUGGAAGAAGAGGCUGGGCUGGCUUUGCGCAGAGCCUCAAAUCAGACCAGUCCCUCUACAGCCCCUGCGGGAAGCAGGCAUGGGGUAGGAGGGCGAGGGGCUGCAGGCCAAGGCUGGAGGGAAGGCCAGAAAGGCCUGUGGGCCCCACCCUGGGGUAGGCAGUCCGCCACACACGCACCGGAUUGUUACCUGCAUUUUACAAUGGAGGACACGGCUCUCAGAGGAGUAGGCACAGGUUUCUGUUUGUUUAGGAUGGAGAGGCCUGUGUGUUGGAAGGCAGAGGAGGGAGUUUCGGCUUAGUCUUUUCUGCAAGAACCUGCUGAUCCCACAACUGUGCCUGGCCCACCCUGGGGGAACCCAAGAGGCUCCAGGCCCUGUUGCUGAGGCCAGUAUAGGGGUGGGGUGGAGGCUGGCCUGGUCAGACGUGCAAACAGGAUUUCCCCCAAACAGGGAGGCUCUCUUGACCCUUGAAACCAUCCCCGUUUCCUGAACAGUAUUAUUCGUGGUUUUUGUCUUAAACAUUCAUCUCCUUUGCCAGGGCCUGUCCAUUUUCCACACCUGAGUCUGAACAGGCUAAUGAUGAGGCCCCAGCUUUCACUGUGCAGUCUUCUGCAGGGAUUGUGUGUGUGUCUCAGAUAGAGCUCUCCACUUUGGGAUUUUUUUUUUUUUGUAGAGUCUCAUCCAGUAACAAAGAGAAAAUGGAGCUCACCCGGGGUGUCCUGAGAUGGGUGGGCCCCAAGGGGGUUCCAUUCUCUGAGACGUGUGAUGGAGCCCUGUGGUCCUCACUCUCUUUAUCUCCUCUGCCUUCCCCACCGUCUAGCCUCCCCCCUCAUCUUUGUUCCCCAUUCCCCCACCAGUUCCUUCUGUUCUCCUUCUCCUCACCUCUUGCUCGCCCUGCCCUGAGGACCCAGCCCCCUCACAACCUUCCUCCAUAGUCCAGUGCCAAUGUUGGCCUAGGGCCUUCAACAUCCCCUAACCCCACCUGGCAGAGGGGGAGUUGCAGUGCAGGCUUCCCUGUUGAGGGACCUCACUAUUGUGGAGCACUGCCUCUGACAGGUGGUGUCUGAGCCUGUCACCAUGAAAUGGGGCAGCCACAGUAGCUACCUCCAUCGUUCAGUCUCUGUUGAGCGUGCAUUGUCGAGGGGUGUCACCAUGAAACGGGGCAGCCACUGUAGCUACCUCCAUUGUUCAGUCUCUGUUGAGCGUGCAUUGUUGAGGGGCUCCUCCUCCCUACAUGUCGGAACUCUUGGGUUGAGCAGGUGAGCUCAGCAACAUUGCAGAAUGCAAGAUCAGCACACAACAAUCGCUUGCAUUGAUGUUCACCUAAGCUGCCCGAGUUUUGGAUCCGGGUACAGCACCAUCCUGGGAUCCUCACCCCAAGCCCAGAAUUGCCUGUGUACGUUUACAUGGUGACCUCCAGACAAAGGCACCCAGCGUCUUGCUUUCCAAAAGGAUCUCUGGUCAGGUUUGGUAGCUCACGCCUGUCAUCCCAGCACUUUGAGAGGCCAAGGCGGGCAAAUUACCUGAGGUCAGGAGUUCGAGACCAUCCUGGCCAACAUGGUGAAACCCCGUCUCUACUAAAAAUACAGAAAAAAUUAGCUGGGCAUGGUCUUGGGUGCCUGUAGUCCCAGCUACUCGGAAGGCUGAGGCAGGAGAAUCGCUUGAACCAGGGAGGUGGAGGUUGCAGUGACCUGAGAUGGCACCACUGCACUCCAGCCUGGGCGACAGAGCGAGACGCCGUCUCAAAAGAAAAAAAAAGAGAAAAGAAAAGGAUCUUCAAAAGCUUAUUUAAAUAAUCCUUAACAUACACAGUUAUGGCUAAAUUUGCAUUUCAAUGCUGUUAUCUCUCUUCUUUUAACCCAACAUAGACUUCUGUCAGCAUCCCAGACUAGCAUUCGUUAAUUGCGGGCUAAUGUGUCUUUCCUAAACAGUAUCUUGUUCAAAAUCAAGCCACUGGAAACAGUUGCUCUGCCAAGGCUGAAGGAGGAGGCAGGCCGCCUUUUCCAGCCUGUCAGGGAGGAAACCUCACCUGCUGCGCUGAGACGGCCUGCCUGUCCUGCUGCUCCUCUGAGUGGUUUUUAUCUGCUCCUCCCAGAGAACCUCAGCAAUGUGAGGGCAGGAGCCGUCUGCCCACCCCGAAGCCCUGGGGGAAGGACUGCCCGGCACAGCUCCAGGGUAAAAACAGAAACCGUGGGACGCAUGGCCUCUCUGCUGUGGGUCCCUCCACCGCCCCGGGCCUGCCAGACAGGUUCUUCCGCGGGGUGCCCACUUCCUGUGUGGAGCCUCCUUGACCCGUCUGGUUCCAUGUGCCCCAUCUCCACGCGCCUGCAUGCCAUCACUCCCACCCAUCUCUGCGCCUCCCUCCAGGGCCCGGCUGCUGAUAGCCCAUGCGGGACAGCGCCCGUGGCCGGGACUGAGUCGGCACACCCAGACCCGGGUGCACAGGCUGCCCCAGAGUGACAACGUG